UACUAACAAACUAUGAAAGAAGGUUACCACUCCCCUUGGCAAGGACAGAUGAGGCCCUCAGGCCUUACGACACACAGAAGGUUAAGGCAUUGCCACCUACUUUGUGGCAUCUAACCACAGUUUGGA
Small nuclear RNA from Loxodonta africana (African savanna elephant), 126 nucleotides. Lineage: Eukaryota; Metazoa; Chordata; Mammalia; Proboscidea; Elephantidae. The record is from Ensembl.